CCGUGUACGUACAAGCAGUGGGAGCACCCUUUGGGGUGUGACUGCGUACCUUUUGUAUAAUGGGUCAGCGACUUAUAUUCUGUAGCAAGGUUAACCGAAUAGGGGAGCCGGAGGGAAACCGAGUCUUAAUUGGGCGUUAAGUUGCAGGGUAUAGACCCGAAACCCGGUGAUCUAGCCAUGGGCAGGUUGAAGGUUGGGUAACACUAACUGGAGGACCGAACCGACUAAUGUUGAAAAAUUAGCGGAUGACCUGUGGCUGGGGGUGAAAGGCCAAUCAAACCGGGAGAUAGCUGGUUCUCCCCGAAAGCUAUUUAGGUAGCGCCUCGUGAAUUCAUCUCCGGGGGUAGAGCACUGUUUCGGCUAGGGGGCCAUCCCGGCUUACCAACCCGAUGCAAACUGCGAAUACCGGAGAAUGUUAUCACGGGAGACACACGGCGGGUGCUAACGUCCGUCGUGAAGAGGGAAACAACCCAGACCGCCAGCUAAGGUCCCAAAGUCAUGGUUAAGUGGGAAACGAUGUGGGAAGGCCCAGACAGCCAGGAUGUUGGCUUAGAAGCAGCCAUCAUUUAAAGAAAGCGUAAUAGCUCACUGGUCGAGUCGGCCUGCGCGGAAGAUGUAACGGGGCUAAACCAUGCACCGAAGCUGCGGCAGCGACACUGUGUGUUGUUGGGUAGGGGAGCGUUCUGUAAGCCUGUGAAGGUGUGUCGUGAGGCAUGCUGGAGGUAUCAGAAGUGCGAAUGCUGACAUAAGUAACGAUAAAGCGGGUGAAAAGCCCGCUCGCCGGAAGACCAAGGGUUCCUGUCCAACGUUAAUCGGGGCAGGGUGAGUCGACCCCUAAGGCGAGGCCGAAAGGCGUAGUCGAUGGGAAACGGGUUAAUAUUCCCGUACUUGGUGUUACUGCGAAGGGGGGACGGAGAAGGCUAUGUUGGCCGGGCGACGGUUGUCCCGGUUUAAGCGUGUAGGUGUGUGUUCCAGGUAAAUCCGGUUCACUUUAACACUGAGGCGUGACGACGAGGCACUACGGUGCUGAAGCAACAAAUGCCCUGCUUCCAGGAAAAGCCUCUAAGCAUCAGGUAACAUCAAAUCGUACCCCAAACCGACACAGGUGGUCAGGUAGAGAAUACCAAGGCGCUUGAGAGAACUCGGGUGAAGGAACUAGGCAAAAUGGUGCCGUAACUUCGGGAGAAGGCACGCUGACACGUAGGUGAAGUGAUUUACUCAUGGAGCUGAAGUCAGUCGAAGAUACCAGCUGGCUGCAACUGUUUAUUAAAAACACAGCACUGUGCAAACACGAAAGUGGACGUAUACGGUGUGACGCCUGCCCGGUGCCGGAAGGUUAAUUGAUGGGGUCAGCGCAAGCGAAGCUCCUGAUCGAAGCCCCGGUAAACGGCGGCCGUAACUAUAACGGUCCUAAGGUAGCGAAAUUCCUUGUCGGGUAAGUUCCGACCUGCACGAAUGGCGUAAUGAUGGCCAGGCUGUCUCCACCCGAGACUCAGUGAAAUUGAACUCGCUGUGAAGAUGCAGUGUACCCGCGGCAAGACGGAAAGACCCCGUGAACCUUUACUAUAGCUUGACACUGAACAUUGAGCCUUGAUGUGUAGGAUAGGUGGGAGGCUUUGAAGUGUGGACGCCAGUCUGCAUGGAGCCGACCUUGAAAUACCACCCUUUAAUGUUUGAUGUUCUAACGUGGACCCGUGAUCCGGGUUGCGGACAGUGUCUGGUGGGUAGUUUGACUGGGGCGGUCUCCUCCUAAAGAGUAACGGAGGAGCACGAAGGUUGGCUAAUCCUGGUCGGACAUCAGGAGGUUAGUGCAAUGGCAUAAGCCAGCUUGACUGCGAGCGUGACGGCGCGAGCAGGUGCGAAAGCAGGUCAUAGUGAUCCGGUGGUUCUGAAUGGAAGGGCCAUCGCUCAACGGAUAAAAGGUACUCCGGGGAUAACAGGCUGAUACCGCCCAAGAGUUCAUAUCGACGGCGGUGUUUGGCACCUCGAUGUCGGCUCAUCACAUCCUGGGGCUGAAGUAGGUCCCAAGGGUAUGGCUGUUCGCCAUUUAAAGUGGUACGCGAGCUGGGUUUAGAACGUCGUGAGACAGUUCGGUCCCUAUCUGCCGUGGGCGCUGGAGAACUGAGGGGGGCUGCUCCUAGUACGAGAGGACCGGAGUGGACGCAUCACUGGUGUUCGGGUUGUCAUGCCAAUGGCACUGCCCGGUAGCUAAAUGCGGAAGAGAUAAGUGCUGAAAGCAUCUAAGCACGAAACUUGCCCCGAG
This 2263-nucleotide ribosomal RNA is filed under the name Salmonella enterica. Its description in RNAcentral is "partial 23S ribosomal RNA". It matches the Rfam family "Bacterial large subunit ribosomal RNA", at positions 556 to 2803 of the family's 2925-position model. The record is from RNAcentral. Lineage: Bacteria; Pseudomonadati; Pseudomonadota; Gammaproteobacteria; Enterobacterales; Enterobacteriaceae.